Molecule: long non-coding RNA, 1044 nt
Filed under: Homo sapiens (human)
Lineage: Eukaryota; Metazoa; Chordata; Mammalia; Primates; Hominidae
Description: non-protein coding LINC00051:1
Source: RNAcentral
GCUGCCGGGCUCAUGGAACAGGCCCAGCCCCUGAGUAGCAGCCUCGAGCAGCUGAGCCCAGAGAAAGAUGUUGAAAGUCAGCCCGUAGCAGGCAGGGCAAGGGGAGCUGUGCGUCUCCCAUGUGUCAGAGCGUGGAGGGAGCGCCGGGGGUGGGGGGCAGGGGCAGAGGCCCAGAUGCUGGGUCCACCAUGGAGGCUGCCAGGUGCUGAGGGGGGUCAUUAAAUACACCCCCCACACCCCUCACUUGUGUGAAGGUCAGAGGACAAAGGACGGACAAAGGCAUCUGGUCACCCCCCAUCUUGAGCCGAACAGAUGAAACCGUUGACAGUGAAGCCUCGCCUGGGAGGACUUCAGCUCACAGCACGUGGGCCGGCCUGAAAGGGAGGACCCAGGGAAGGGGUGCUGGGAGGGCUGGGGACCCGGCAGCUCCUGGCCGGCAUCCUCUAUGAACUGCAGCAAUUCAUUAUCCUUCCUCCAGCUGAUGAGGAUGAUCAGGAGGACAAUUAGUCUUGGAAUUACCGCGGAGGAGACCGUUAAGAGAAAAAUAAAUUAAAAAGAAAUCCAUUCGAGGUGUAAUUGUAAUACAGUGUAUCAUAGUCAAUUGAAUCACAAAUACAAGCUGGUCCCUUGUCGAUUGAUUUCAGCAAGUAAACAAUUUGGGUAUCUAAAUUGGAAACUCGCCGGGAAAAGGAGCAAUGAUUUGGUUAAAGGGAGAACUGAAAACGUCAGGCCAAAAAUUGGUUCUAGGUGUCUGGCUGCUACAGGACUGUGCAGGUGACCCUAGAUGGGAGGGAGGUCACCAGCUCCUCCCUGCCUGCAGGUCAAGGUCACCCCAUCUGGAAGCUACCUAGACCCCAGCAAUGUUACCUGACCUGUGACACCUUUGUUCCUGUGUCCUCCUCUGUGCCGCCCAUGGUGAAUGUGGCUUCUCUGUCUACAUGGAUGCACUCCCACCACACUGGGAGCUUCUGGGGCACAGGAGUCCUGCUUUACUUCCUAUGUUGAGCCCAGGUAGGUGGGGUGGGGGUGCUUAGAAGGCAGCUG